CCUGGCCACCCCUCUGCCUGGGUCCCACGGGGCUGCUUCAGGUUCCCAUCUGGCUCAUGGGUGAAGGUGUCCAGAGCUGCACUGGGUUGCUGUUGCUGCACUGGGGAUUGAACCCCAGGGUCCCACCCAAGAUAGGCAAACCGUCUAUCACCGAGCCACGUCCCCAGCCCUUAAUGUUUUGAGAGAAUCUCACUAAGCUGCCCAGGCUGCCCCCAAAUUUAAGAUUCUCCUGCCUCAGCCUCCCCACUACCCAUAGGUGUGGCCUCGGCCCCUGGCUUGCAUCUGAGGGCUCAGCAUAUGAUAAGCAUAAAUUAUCUUGUUCAGUUCUUGCAAAUACCCUCUGAGGUGGGCAAGAAAAUCACCAUUUGAUUCAAAGGAAUUCAAUACUCAGAAGUACCCUGAGCCACUGGCCCAGCAUCACAGAGCCACUGAGUGGUGGCGCUGGCCUGCCUGACUCCAAAGCUCUGACCACUCACUGACAUGGCUUCUCCUGAUCAGUAUUAUUGGGAGGCAGGAAGAAAUGUUGAUGGUGGUUUGUUGGGUUAAACAGCGCCUGCUGCGCUCUGGAUCUGAGCCAUAUAACACAUGAAUCAGAGAUCCCUGGGCCCCUUCUGGAAGCCUCCACCCAACCGUCCACUUCCCCACCUAAUUGUGGAAAAGGCUUAUUGACACCAGAGCCCUCCGUUGCCAGGCUCCACCCCCCACACACCCACCGCUCUCUGGGCCCCCCUGGGAAUCUCUUCCCUCUGCACCAGGCCAGCCGGACAGAGCUGAGCGGUCACCUGAGAGCACAGAGCCAGAUGGCUUCCUGAGCAGGAGGGACCGUCAGCCCUCAGGAGCCCCUCUGAUUUGCACUGGCCAUAAAGAGUGGGAACUGGAAAGCAGCUGGGCAGGCCCUGACCUCAGGUCCAGGCCUUGCUCUUCACAGCUGCAUGACCUUGCCAAACUCGCUGCGCCCAGUAGUCAGGAAGCUGGUGUUCAAAUCCUUGAUGUAAGGAAGAAGGUAAGGAAGAGUUCUUCACCAGCGCUGACCCGAGGGCUUAAAGAUACACCCGCGGCUCCCACAAGCUGCCCUUCUCUCACCCCAAAGAGACCCUGCCCCCUCCUGCCCUCAUCACAUCCAUGGAUUCUCUGGGGCUCAGUGCUGGCCAUCUGGUAG
Molecule: long non-coding RNA, 1159 nt
Filed under: Marmota monax (woodchuck)
Lineage: Eukaryota; Metazoa; Chordata; Mammalia; Rodentia; Sciuridae
Source: RNAcentral